Molecule: long non-coding RNA, 879 nt
Organism: Oreochromis aureus
Lineage: Eukaryota; Metazoa; Chordata; Actinopteri; Cichliformes; Cichlidae
Exons: 3
Source: RefSeq, a predicted model, not a curated record
UGAUGAUUUAAAUGAUUAUAUAAGGUGGUGCUGCUGAAAUGUAUAAAAAUCAAAGUGGCAAGAACCAAGUGUUCUUUGUUCCAGUUUGACCGACUUGAACGUAACAGCGUGUCUCAGCUACACUCUGCUCAUCUCGAGUCUUCGCUUCUCAUUUGCUUCAGAGCAUUUCACCUGCUGUUCCAGACAACCCACUUGUGCCUGAUCCGCUGCAGGUUAACCAACCAACCAACCAACCACUCAUUAGUGAAACAAAAAAUAAGAGGAUCAUGAAGGUUCAAAUUGUCUGUUUGCUGCUGGGCCUGCUUUCUGCUGUGGAGCUCUCUGCAAGCCUGGACUUCUAUCAAAAACAUGUCAUUGGAAAAAUGCAGCCACGAGAAUGUAGUCAGAUAAUAAGGGAGAGAAACAUCAGAGAAAAAGGUGAAUUCAAAAAAAUAAAUACAUUUCUUCUGACCACAGUUAAAAAUGUCAAUAAAAUCUGUGCACGUGGUGAUGGAAGGAAGAGUGCUACGUUACUUGUUGUUGUAUGCAAUCAUGUUGGUACCAGUUCAAGUCAAGGCAAAUAUACAGGUCAAGGCCCUGAGUUCAGCAAAGUUGAUAUACAUUGUGAAGGUGGAGUGCCAGUCCACUUGUAUAGUGUGUAAAUUGGUUAAACUGUUCUGAAUUGUUGCUUUUUGCUUAGUUUGAAGUUGACACCCACCCUGGCUACAAUCUCAUCUUAUUGCUUGUCAUGAUUUUUCCUUAGUUUGCUUUAGAAAAAAAAAAUGAAUAUUGAAAAUGCAAUAAAACAUUAUGUUCUGCACUCAGUUAUCUUACAUGGAAUUCUUGAACUCAACUUGCCUUCUGUCUGCUGAAUUGAUAAAAUAAACUCACUAACCAGCU